AUGUUGUGUGAAAGAAGGAGAAAAGGUUCGCACUCCCCUUCAUAAGGGUGGAAGAGGCCCCAGUGGCCAGUACAACACACAUGCAACUAAGGCACUGCCACCUACUUCAUGGCAUCUGACCACGUUUUUGC
Molecule: small nuclear RNA, 131 nt
Organism: Columba livia (rock pigeon)
Lineage: Eukaryota; Metazoa; Chordata; Aves; Columbiformes; Columbidae
Source: RefSeq, a predicted model, not a curated record